AUAUCAGUCAGCGGAGGAAAAGAAACCAACAGGGAUUCCCUUAGUAACGGCGAGUGAAGCGGGAAUAGCUCAGGCUGGAAAUCAAGCGGGCACAUGUGCGCGCCUUGACGUGUGGUCUGACGAGGCAUGCUCGGCGGCCGGUAGAUGCUCAAGUCCUCUGGAAAGGGGCACCGUGGAGGGUGAGAGUCCCGUUCGCAGCGUCGCGCCGGUGGCCAUGAGAGCAGUCUUCAGAGAGUCGGGUUGCUUGGGAGUGCAGCCCAAACGGGGUGGUAUACGCCAUCCAAGGCUAAAUAUUGGCGAGAGACCGAUAGCGAACAAGUACUGUGAAGGAAAGUUGAAAAGCACUCUGGAGAGAGAGUCAAAGAGCACGUGAAAUUGCUGGCAGGGAAGCGCUGGGCGACAGUGCGCAUGCGCGCAGGAACAGGCUUGCGGCGGUGGUCUGCGGGCGGACACGAUGUGACCGCGUGUGGUGCUGCUGGCGGGGGCUGCAUGCCUGCGGGUGUGGGCCAGCAUCGGUUGCGGGCGGGUGGAGGACGGCUGAGUGGGGGACAUUUCGGUGUUUCCCACACGGUGCGGCACACCCGG
This 585-nucleotide ribosomal RNA is filed under the name uncultured fungus. Its description in RNAcentral is "eukaryotic LSU rRNA". It matches the Rfam family "Eukaryotic large subunit ribosomal RNA", at positions 40 to 499 of the family's 3401-position model. Lineage: Eukaryota; Fungi. The record is from RNAcentral.